Molecule: long non-coding RNA, 517 nt
Organism: Macadamia integrifolia
Lineage: Eukaryota; Viridiplantae; Streptophyta; Magnoliopsida; Proteales; Proteaceae
Exons: 2
Source: RefSeq, a predicted model, not a curated record
UUAGUCUGUUUAGCCUAUAAAUAGGAGGGGAGAGUGAGUUAUUUCUCUCCUAAUGUUGCUGAAAACAGAAACGAAUAGAGAAAUAGAAGAAGGAGAGGAUGAAAGAGAAAGAAGAAGGAAAGGAAGGAGAAAGAAGAAGAAGAAGGAGAAGAGAAAGUGCAGCCUUCUUUUCUGCUACUGCAUGCUGCUACGGCUGCUGUUCCUGCUGCUAUUGAUGCAUGCAAGCAUCUUGUACUCUCCACAACAAGUAAAAUCUGCGUUGGUCUUGAUCCAGCUGAAGAUUUGAGUGAAGGACUACUGAUCAGUUGCAUGCAUGUAUCAAGAAGCACAAAAGGUAUUGAAGUUGAAGCAGAAAUGAUUAGGUGACUUGUUGGAGAUGAAGAUAUGGAUAGGGAGUGACUAGAGAUAGGAACUUUUGAUACAUUGUGUACUAUAAUGUAAAUUAAGUGCAAGUUGUAUUAUUUAUUUUGUUUUAACUUGUGGAUGGAAUAAAUUGGCCUGUAAUAUUAUAAUAGCA